This 468-nucleotide ribosomal RNA is filed under the name uncultured bacterium. Its description in RNAcentral is "partial 16S ribosomal RNA". It matches the Rfam family "Bacterial small subunit ribosomal RNA", at positions 28 to 507 of the family's 1533-position model. The record is from RNAcentral.
GACGAACGCUGGCGGCGUGCUUAACACAUGCAAGUCGAACGGAAAGGCCCUGCUUUUGUGGGGUGCUCGAGUGGCGAACGGGUGAGUAACACGUGAGUAACCUGCCCUUGACUUUGGGAUAACUUCAGGAAACUGGGGCUAAUACCGGAUAGGAGCUCCUGCUGCAUGGUGGGGGUUGGAAAGUUUCGGCGGUUGGGGAUGGACUCGCGGCUUAUCAGCUUGUUGGUGGGGUAGUGGCUUACCAAGGCUUUGACGGGUAGCCGGCCUGAGAGGGUGACCGGCCAAAUUGGGACUGAGAUAAGGCCCAGAAUCCUACGGGAGGCAGCAGUGGGGAAUAUUGCACAAUGGGCGGAAGCCUGAUGCAGCAACGCCGCGUGCGGGAUGACGGCCUUCGGGUUGUAAACCGCUUUCGCCUGUGACGAAGCGUGAGUGACGGUAAUGGGUAAAGAAGCACCGGCUAACUACGUG